RNAcentral lists this small RNA (132 nucleotides) under Salmonella enterica. RNAcentral's name for it is "RtT sRNA". It matches the Rfam family "RtT RNA". From Rfam's summary of the family: This family represents a bacterial cis-regulatory element known as RtT RNA. The exact function of RtT is unknown although it is thought that it may be involved in changing the cellular response in relation to amino acid starvation. RNAcentral also lists the same sequence under 1 other name. Lineage: Bacteria; Pseudomonadati; Pseudomonadota; Gammaproteobacteria; Enterobacterales; Enterobacteriaceae. The record is from RNAcentral.
UAUCUCUCCGUACGGGGAAGGAUGAGAAGCUUCGACCAAGGUUCGAUUCGAGCGAAAGCGAGAAAGCGUUGCCGCAGGCAACGACCCGAAGGGCGAAGCGCGCAGCGCUGAGUAAUCCUUCCCCUACCACCA